RNAcentral lists this non-coding RNA (21 nucleotides) under Caenorhabditis elegans. Lineage: Eukaryota; Metazoa; Nematoda; Chromadorea; Rhabditida; Rhabditidae. The record is from RNAcentral.
UGUAGAACUUGGAUGUGUUCC